This 384-nucleotide ribosomal RNA is filed under the name gamma proteobacterium SCGC AAA023-A13. RNAcentral describes it as "bacterial SSU rRNA". It matches the Rfam family "Bacterial small subunit ribosomal RNA", at positions 379 to 754 of the family's 1533-position model. Lineage: Bacteria; Pseudomonadati; Pseudomonadota; Gammaproteobacteria. The record is from RNAcentral.
AAGCCUGAUCCAGCCAUGCCGCGUGUGUGAAGAAGGUCUUCGGAUUGUAAAGCACUUUAAGUUGGGAGGAAGGGCAGUAAAUUAAUACUUUGCUGUUUUGACGUUACCGACAGAAUAAGCACCGGCUAACUCUGUGCCAGCAGCCGCGGUAAUACAGAGGGUGCAAGCGUUAAUCGGAAUUACUGGGCGUAAAGCGCGCGUAGGUGGUUCGUUAAGUNGGAUGUGAAAUCCCCGGGCUCAACCUGGGAACUGCAUUCAAAACUGACGAGCUAGAGUAUGGUAGAGGGUGGUGGAAUUUCCNGUGUAGCGGUGAAAUGCGUAGAUAUAGGAAGGAACACCAGUGGCGAAGGCGACCACCUGGACAUGAUACUGACACUNAGGUGC